UACGGGGGGUGCAAGCGUUGUCCGGAAUCAUUGGGCGUAAAGAGUUCGUAGGUGGUAUGUUAAGUCUGGUGUUAAAGGCGGAAGCUCAACUUCCGUAGGGCACUGGAUACUGGCAAACUUGAAUGCGGUAGAGGUAAAGGGAAUUCCUGGUGUAGCGGUGAAAUGCGUAGAUAUCAGGAGGAACAUCGGUGGCGUAAGCGCUUUACUGGGCCGUAAUUGACACUGAGGAACGAAAGCCGGGGUAGCAAAUGGGAUUAGAAACCCGUAGUC
RNAcentral lists this ribosomal RNA (270 nucleotides) under uncultured bacterium. RNAcentral describes it as "partial 16S ribosomal RNA". It matches the Rfam family "Bacterial small subunit ribosomal RNA", at positions 524 to 795 of the family's 1533-position model. The record is from RNAcentral.